Molecule: small nucleolar RNA, 102 nt
Organism: Phragmites australis (common reed)
Lineage: Eukaryota; Viridiplantae; Streptophyta; Magnoliopsida; Poales; Poaceae
Product: small nucleolar RNA snoR31/Z110/Z27
Exons: 1
Source: RefSeq, a predicted model, not a curated record
GGUAUCAGGGGAUGAAAUCUCGAAACAAUCUUAGGACACCUUCUGACACAGUGCUAUUACCCUGCGCUGUGCAUGAGAUCGAAAUUUUUUUCUGAUGGUACU